Molecule: transfer RNA, 68 nt
Filed under: Microbacterium lacticum
Lineage: Bacteria; Bacillati; Actinomycetota; Actinomycetes; Micrococcales; Microbacteriaceae
Also listed under: 4 other names
Rfam family: tRNA
About the family: Transfer RNA (tRNA) molecules are approximately 80 nucleotides in length.
Source: RNAcentral
GGGCUGUAGUUCAAUGGCAGAACUUCUGCUUCCCAAGCAGACAGCGCGGGUUCGAUUCCCGUCAGCCC